UUGAACGCUGGCGGCAUGCUUUACACCUGCCAGUCGAACGGUAACAGGGUGCUUGCACCGCUGACGAGUGGCGAACGGGUGAGUAAUGCAUCGGAAUGUACCGUGUAAUGGGGGAUAGCUCGGCGAAAGCCGGAUUAAUACCGCAUACGCCCUGAGGGGGAAAGUGGGGGACCGAAAGGCCUCACGUUAUACGAGCAGCCGAUGUCUGAUUAGCUAGUUGGUGAGGUAAAGGCUCACCAAGGCGUCGAUCAGUAGCGGGUCUGAGAGGAUGAUCCGCCACACUGGGACUGAGACACGGCCCAGACUCCUACGGGAGGCAGCAGUGGGGAAUUUUGGACAAUGGGCGCAAGCCUGAUCCAGCCAUGCCGCGUGUCUGAAGAAGGCCUUCGGGUUGUAAAGGACUUUUGUCCGGGAGCAAAUCCUAGUGGUUAAUAACCGCUGGGUCUGAGAGUACCGGAAGAAUAAGCACCGGCUAACUACGUG
Molecule: ribosomal RNA, 483 nt
Filed under: uncultured bacterium
Lineage: Bacteria
Description: partial 16S ribosomal RNA
Rfam family: Bacterial small subunit ribosomal RNA
Source: RNAcentral